GACGGAUGGGGCUAGCGUUAUUCGGAAUUACUGGGCGUAAAGGGCGCGUAGGCGGUCAAUUAAGUUAGGCGUGAAAGCCCUGGGCUUAACCCAGGAACUGCGUUUAAUACUGGUUGGCUAGAGUUUGGUAGAGGAAAGCGGAAUUCCUAGUGUAGAGGUGAAAUUCGUAGAUAUUAGGAAGAACACCAGAGGCGAAGGCGGCUUUCUGGACCAAUACUGACGCUGAGGCGCGAAAGCGUGGGGAGCAAACAGG
This 253-nucleotide ribosomal RNA is filed under the name uncultured bacterium. Its description in RNAcentral is "partial 16S ribosomal RNA". It matches the Rfam family "Bacterial small subunit ribosomal RNA", at positions 524 to 776 of the family's 1533-position model. The record is from RNAcentral.